GCAGUCGCCGCGGGAAUACGGAGGGUGCAAGCGUUAAUCGGAAUUACUGGGCGUAAAGCGCACGCAGGCGGUCUGACAAGUCAGAUGUGAAAUCCCCGGGCUUAACCUGGGAACUGCAUUUGAAACUGUCAGGCUGGAGUCUUGUAGAGGGGGGUGGAAUUCCAGGUGUAGCGGUGAAAUGCGUAGAGAUCUGGAGGAAUACCGGUGGCGAAGGCGGCCCCCUGGACAAAGACUGACGCUCAGGUGCGAAAGCGUGGGGAGCAAACAGGAUUAGAUACCCGCGUAGUCCCUGUCUCUUAUAC
This 302-nucleotide ribosomal RNA is filed under the name uncultured bacterium. Its description in RNAcentral is "partial 16S ribosomal RNA". It matches the Rfam family "Bacterial small subunit ribosomal RNA", at positions 508 to 807 of the family's 1533-position model. The record is from RNAcentral.